RNAcentral lists this long non-coding RNA (1461 nucleotides) under Glycine max (soybean). RNAcentral describes it as "long non-coding RNA (GMAX_LNC004495)". Lineage: Eukaryota; Viridiplantae; Streptophyta; Magnoliopsida; Fabales; Fabaceae. The record is from RNAcentral.
GUAUAUAUUGAAAGAAGGUAAAAUCUUGAACAUCUUCAUAGUGCAUUGAACUCAAUGCUUCAGGAUUUUCCUAAGCUUAGACUAUAAAAAAAAUGGGGAAAAACAGGUUCCAAAUCCUUGUCAUGACAGAGCAAAUAACUGCAAAUCUAAUGUGAUUGAAAAACUCAUAUGAUUCUAAGUCUAAUAACAAGUGUAACAAUGGUCACAAUACAAAACAUAGUUUGAAAAAAUUGCUUCAACUCUUGAUCAAGACAAAGUCUUCGAUAGCCAACUUCACUGUUUGAAGAGGAAUCACUCAGCUAGCCAUCUUUAUCAUUUAAUUUUCUUGACCUAUUUUUGCUUCCCAAUUUUCAUUCACAUUGCCCAUCUGUAUUUCCAUAAAAGUAAAGCAAUAUCAAAACAAUAAUAAUUAAAUGCACAACCUUUAAUAUUUAGUAAUAACCAGCUUACUGCAACAAUCAGUAUGCAAAAAUGAUGAUGACAGUUUCAUAUGAACAAAAAAACACAAAAAGCAAUAAAUUAAGACAUAACAAAUGUAAUAAAUUAAUUUAUAUGAAAUAAAUUACGUGAUAUAAAAAUUAACCAACUAUAAAUAAAUAAGCACCUUCUAUGGAAAGAAUGAAAAGUGCCUCUGCUGCUAUUCUGCGAACAUUUUCAUCAUUUCCUUUUCUAACAAGCUUCAACAAGGAAGAGAUGUCACCAAGUUGGACCAUACUUUGCUUAUUUUUCUCAGCAAUUAAAAUUUGUUUCUUAGAGAUGCAUAUUGAAAGAAUUUAAAUAGGUAACAGAUAUGGAAAACCUGUUUUCACAGUCACAGUAGGAUUUGAUUGUAAUUUUGUUAUCCUAUUUGCAUUGCCACGAGAAGGAGCUGCUGAUCAGAAAUGAAAAAAAAUAUGAAACAUACAUGUUUGUACACCAAGCAUGGAAAAAUAUAAAUUAGAGUAAAAAUAUCAGUUCAAGCAACAAAAAUUGCCAGUAUAAAUAUCAGUUUGUCAUCACCCAUACUUCUAAUUUUAUGAUCCAAGUUGCCUCCAACUUUUCCCCAACCACUAGAAUGAUUUGAAUCAUAAGCAAUUUCAUUCUUCUCCAUUGAAGCACCCCAUGAACAGUUCUGAUUUGAAGUACUUUUAGUCUCCCAAGCAAUAACUUCUACACCUACACAUUACAACAAAACAAGGGAAAUGAUGAACAAGUAGUUAACUGGAAACAAAGACAUGCAUGUGCUAAAAAAUUUAUGUACUACAAUCUAUAUCUUUCGAACUAAAAGAUGUUGACUUUAAAGACAAUUCAAAAUUGUCCUAGAAUGUGUUUUUUCUAGUAGUGGUGGUUACCCGUUCAUGCACUCACAUACAAAAAUAUAUGUGAAAAUGGUCAAGUUAUUCCAAGAGUAACUCAAAGAGUUAUCCUCACUGGUAACAUAAAAAAUGAGUUACUUGUUAUAAUCAUUAGAUUAAAAGAAAA